GUGAGGAAUAUUGCGCAAUGGAGGCAACUCUGACGCAGCCAUGCCGCGUGCAGGAAGAAGGCGCUACGCGUUGUAAACUGCUUUUAACCGGGAAGAAACCCCAGGACGUGUCCUGGGUUGACGGUACCGGAGGAAUAAGCACCGGCUAACUUCGUGCCAGCAGCCGCGGUAAUACGAAGGGUGCAAGCGUUAUCCGGAUUCCUUGGGUUUAAAGGGUGCGUAGGCGGAGCGUUAAGUCAGUGGUGAAAUCCUGCAGCUUAACUGUAGACUUGCCAUUGAUACUGGCGCUCUUGAGUGCGCUUGAAGUGGGCGGAAUGUGCCGUGUAGCGGUGAAAUGCUUAGAUAUGGCACAGAACACCAAUUGCGAAGGCAGCUCACUAAGGCGAUACUGACGCUGAGGCACGAAAGCGUGGGGAUCGAACAGGAUUAGAUACCCGUGUAGUCC
This 445-nucleotide ribosomal RNA is filed under the name uncultured bacterium. Its description in RNAcentral is "partial 16S ribosomal RNA". It matches the Rfam family "Bacterial small subunit ribosomal RNA", at positions 354 to 796 of the family's 1533-position model. The record is from RNAcentral.